UUAAACACAUACGACUCUUAAUAGAUUUUAUGUUCACCUGCGCUUGUCAGCGGAAGUAAAAACCUGGUGAAGCACGCGACUCCCACUCCGCUCCUGAAUAUUUCAGUAUUUAGAUUACCUGCAGCAGCAUUGCUGAAGAUUUGUCGGAGCACCUCAGACAGGAGUGUAACGGGAAAAAGCAGAUUGAGGACACUGGAGGCCGUGGAGAAGCAGAUUUGUGACUUGGUUCAGAAGUAGGCCCAGCUGAGAGAGCGGAGAGCCGUGCUGGAAACCUACCGGGCUGACACUCACUAGUCUGGGGAGCGUCCUAGACUUUUUUGCACUGAUGGCCUGCACAGAGUCGGAGCAGAACUACUGUCGGACAACAUCUCCAGGAUGCUAAGCUCCAUAUGACUAGACAGAACUGAAUACUGUCCUUGGAGUUGAGCUGAAUAGUGAUCCGAAAGGCGAUGGUGGAGAUGGUGAUGAAGACAAGGGAGACACACACACUCACGGUAGAGACAGGAGGGAACUUGGAGACGUUGGAGACAGGAUGCUGGGUUGGGAAAUGCAUUCUGGGCCUGCUUAGAAGAAAAUGACAGAAUGCCCUGACUUCAAGCCUGUGAGAGACACGAUAAAAUGGCAAGAUGGAUUUCUGUUUCUUUUAUUCUAUUGGUUAUCUCUCUCUAUUUUUUUCGAUUGUUCUUACAAGCACACAUUUUUACUGAGAGCUUUACGGAGUACAAACAGGAAUCACGCAGACACUCAGUUUAGUGUGAACAGUACACGUAUACUGGAUGUGUGUGUGACUCUCAUGUCCAGCCUUUUGAGAGGA
Molecule: long non-coding RNA, 814 nt
Organism: Carassius auratus (goldfish)
Lineage: Eukaryota; Metazoa; Chordata; Actinopteri; Cypriniformes; Cyprinidae
Exons: 5
Source: RefSeq, a predicted model, not a curated record